GAUUCUGUAGCUCAAUUGGAUAGAGCGUCUCCCUCCGAAGGAGAAGGUUGUGGGUUCAACUCCCGCCAGGAUCACCA
RNAcentral lists this transfer RNA (77 nucleotides) under Patescibacteria group bacterium. RNAcentral describes it as "tRNA-Arg". It matches the Rfam family "tRNA". Rfam says of the family: Transfer RNA (tRNA) molecules are approximately 80 nucleotides in length. The record is from RNAcentral.